GACACAGGGAGGUAGUGACAAGAAAAAAUCAAUACAGGGCAUAUGUCUUGUAAUUGGAAUGAUGCCGACUUAAACCCUCGGCAGAGUACCAAUUGGAGGGCAAGUCUGGUGCCAGCAGCCGCGGUAAUUCCAGCUCCAAUAGCGUAUAUUAAACUUGUUGCAGUUAAAAAGCUCGUAGUUGAAUUUGAGCUUGCGCGAUUCCGUUAUUGGAGUAUUGCGCUUGCUUUUUUGUUACUUUGAGAAAAUUAGAGUGUUUCAAGCAGACUUUUGUCUUGAAUACUUCAGCAUGGAAUAAUAGAGUAGGAACCCUUGGUUCUAUUUUGUUGGUUUUUGGAAGCCUUUGGGAAAUGGUUAAUAGUGAACGGGUGGAGCACAGCUCUAUUUAACUGUCAGAGGUGAAAUUCUUAG
This 408-nucleotide ribosomal RNA is filed under the name Babesia motasi. RNAcentral's name for it is "SSU rRNA". It matches the Rfam family "Eukaryotic small subunit ribosomal RNA", at positions 453 to 923 of the family's 1831-position model. The record is from RNAcentral. Lineage: Eukaryota; Apicomplexa; Aconoidasida; Piroplasmida; Babesiidae.